RNAcentral lists this unclassified non-coding RNA (294 nucleotides) under fungal sp. RNAcentral describes it as "partial internal transcribed spacer region". The stretch from base 1 to 46 matches the Rfam family "Eukaryotic small subunit ribosomal RNA", at positions 1786 to 1831 of the family's 1831-position model. The record is from RNAcentral. Lineage: Eukaryota; Fungi.
AAGUCGUAACAAGGUUUCCGUAGGUGAACCUGCGGAAGGAUCAUUAACACGUAUCCAACGUUAAACCCCCCGUGAACCUUUAUUGUAGUCGUGCCCUCUGUUGGAAAUACGCAAUUGAAAGUGUCACUAGCUCUGUAAGGAUGGCGCAGUAACGAUCGCUAGAGGCCGACACGGCCGGCGACUGGACCGCUGGGUUUUAACCCCUCUGAUCACCUUUGCAUGAAAACGGGCCUGCGCUUAAUUGUGCGGCCACCAAACUUCGAACAACUGUUAACAAUGGAUAUCUUGGUUCUC